CCCUGGUUAGCUCAGUUGCUAGAGCGCUCCACUUGUAAUGGAGAGGUCCCGGGUUCGAUACCCGGACCAGGCG
This 73-nucleotide transfer RNA is filed under the name Ixodes scapularis (black-legged tick). It matches the Rfam family "tRNA". Rfam says of the family: Transfer RNA (tRNA) molecules are approximately 80 nucleotides in length. Their secondary structure includes four short double-helical elements and three loops (D, anti-codon, and T loops). Further hydrogen bonds mediate the characteristic L-shaped molecular structure. tRNAs have two regions of fundamental functional importance: the anti-codon, which is responsible for specific mRNA codon recognition, and the 3' end, to which the tRNAs corresponding amino acid is attached (by aminoacyl-tRNA synthetases). tRNAs cope with the degeneracy of the genetic code in two manners: having more than one tRNA (with a specific anti-codon) for a particular amino acid; and 'wobble' base-pairing, i.e. permitting non-standard base-pairing at the 3rd anti-codon position. Lineage: Eukaryota; Metazoa; Arthropoda; Arachnida; Ixodida; Ixodidae. The record is from Rfam by way of RNAcentral.